UACGGAGGGUGCAAGCGUUGUCCGGAUUUAUUGGGUUUAAAGGGUGCGUAGGCGGCCAAAUAAGUCGGAGGUGAAACCCACAGGCUUAACCUGUGGAGUGCCUUCGAUACUGUAUGGCUUGGGUUAUCUCUAGGCGGGCGGAAUGGAAGGUGUAGCGGUGAAAUGCAUAGAUAUCUACCAGAACGCCGAUAGCGAAGGCAGCUCGCUGGGGAUAUACCGACGCUGAGGCACGAUAGCGUGGGGAUCAAACAGG
Molecule: ribosomal RNA, 253 nt
Filed under: uncultured bacterium
Lineage: Bacteria
Description: partial 16S ribosomal RNA
Rfam family: Bacterial small subunit ribosomal RNA
Source: RNAcentral